GCUCCGGUGGUUUAGUGGUUAGAGCGUCCGCCUCGGAUAGGAGAGGUCAUGGGUUCGAUCCCCGGUUGAGCCA
Molecule: non-coding RNA, 73 nt
Organism: Potamilus streckersoni
Lineage: Eukaryota; Metazoa; Mollusca; Bivalvia; Unionida; Unionidae
Source: the annotation of a GenBank genome assembly